GGGGCCGGUGAGGGCCACCAGAAGACACUGGAGCCGGUGAGGGCCACCAGAAGAUACUGGGGCUGGUGAGGCCCACUAGAAGACACUGGGGUAGGUGAGGGCCACCAGAAGAUACUGGGGCUGGUGAGGGCCACCAGAAGACACUGGGGUUGGUGAGGGCCACUAGAAGACACUGGGGUAGGUGAGGGUCACUGCAAGACACUUGGGCUGGUGAGGGUCACCACAAGAUAUUGGGGCCAAUUAAGGGUCACUGUAAAACAAUGGGGCCGCGGGCCGGCAAGGGUCACUGCAAAACACAGAGGUCAGUAAGGGUCACUUCAAGAAAUUAGGGCCAAUUAAGGAUCACCGCAAAACAGUAGGGCUGGCAAGUGGCUGGUGAGGCUUGUGAGGGUAAAAACACUGGGGCUGAUGUGUGUCACCACAAGACAUUGGAGCCAAGAAAGGAUCACUGCAAAACAGUGGGGCCAGCAAGGAUCACUGCAAAACACUGGAGACACUGAGGCAGUUGAAGGUCACCUGGAUGACACUGGGUCCGGUGAGGAUAACCACAAGAUAAUGGGGCCAAGUUAGGGUCACUGCAAGACAUUUGUGCUGGUGAAGGUCACCGCAAGUCAGUGGGGUCAGUGAGGGUCACCUGUAAGACACUGGGGCAACUGAGGGUCACUGCAAAGACAAUGGGGCCAUUGAGGAUCAUCACACAACACAGCACUCGUGCCAGUGAGGGUCACCACUCACCACAAAGACAUUGAUUCCGGUGGGGGUCACUGAAAGACAAUUGGGCAUGUUAAGGGCACUGGAGAUGGUGAGAGAAGACGGCAAGUUUGAUUAUGAAGACACAGACGUGACAGAUGCUGAUGUUGCACUCACAAAUAAAGCUUCAAUUAGUUAGUGACUCUCUUUUUUUUUCUUGAUUAAGUCUCAACACAGUCUUUAGUUUUUGGUUGUCCGGACAAGUUGCAUGUAUAAAAUGUUCAUUUAAGCAGAAACCAAAAUUCUGCACUUAAAAGUUAAGCUAUUUAAAUGUACUACAAUAUAAACAGGUAUUUUUCUAAUUACAAAACGCAUAUUAGAAAUUUUGAAUAUCUAAAAUGUUCUUUUAAUUAAAUCACAUGUAUUGUUAUUAUAGACCCUAUUUGGAAAUGUUAGUAUGGCGGUAUAGAAUAAACAUAAUAGUUUCUUCCUAUCAUGAGCUCGUGCUAUUAAAUAUCCCUGUCUACCAUGUAACUAACACAAGUAAUCGCCUUUAGAGUAGUAAUAGAGAAGAUCUGAAUGAACAGAUGGUCUCUUGAUUAAGUUUGAUUCUGACGCAUGCAGGAAGCGUUUUUCAGUCACCAGUGCUGAAGUAGUGCACGAAGAGGAGGGACGCGUUUUCCUGAAGAAAUACAGGCCUUGCAAAUGAUAAAGAUGAUAACAAAGGAUGAUGCAACUGAACCUCAGAGACUCUUUUGCAUUUAAUGGCUCGCAGAUUACAGAACAUUAAGUGAAGUGUCAUACUAAAUUCAGGAAAAUGCAAGCAUGUCUUGCAAAAGAGAAACCUGUGUGGAACUUAUCUACAGGAAUAAAGUAAAGUGGAAACCAGUGGCUCUUCUGCUUGUGUGUGUGUGGCUCCUGUGCUCACAGUCAGUGUCCAGCAGCAACCAAAGCUCUCGAGGCCAA
Molecule: long non-coding RNA, 1656 nt
Organism: Cyprinus carpio (common carp)
Lineage: Eukaryota; Metazoa; Chordata; Actinopteri; Cypriniformes; Cyprinidae
Exons: 3
Source: RefSeq, a predicted model, not a curated record